ACGGAAGGCAGCAGUGAGGAAUAUUGGUCAAUGGGCGAGAGCCUGAACCAGCCAAGUCGCGUGAAGGAUGAAGGUUCUAUGGAUUGUAAACUUCUUUUGUUCGAGGGUAAAGUGAGGGAUGCGUCCCUUAUUGCAAGUAUCGAACGAAUAAGCAUCGGCUAACUCCGUGCCAGCAGCCGCGGUAAUACGGAGGAUGCGAGCGUUAUCCGGAUUUAUUGGGUUUAAAGGGUGCGUAGGCGGGAUGUUAAGUCAGCGGUGAGAGCGUGUAGCUCAACUAUACCAAGCCGUUGAAACUGGCGUUCUUGAGUGUAAACGAGGUAGGCGGAAUGUGACGUGUAGCGGUGAAAUGCUUAGAUAUGUCACAGAACCCCGAUUGCGAAGGCAGCUUACCAGCAUACAACUGACGCUGAGGCACGAAAGUGCGGGGAUCAAACAGGAUUAGAUACCCUGGUA
This 453-nucleotide ribosomal RNA is filed under the name uncultured Lachnospiraceae bacterium. RNAcentral describes it as "partial 16S ribosomal RNA". It matches the Rfam family "Bacterial small subunit ribosomal RNA", at positions 341 to 792 of the family's 1533-position model. The record is from RNAcentral. RNAcentral also lists the same sequence under 1 other name. Lineage: Bacteria; Bacillati; Bacillota; Clostridia; Lachnospirales; Lachnospiraceae.